RNAcentral lists this small nuclear RNA (164 nucleotides) under Ornithorhynchus anatinus (platypus). RNAcentral's name for it is "U1 spliceosomal RNA (ENSOANG00000039340.1)". It matches the Rfam family "U1 spliceosomal RNA". Rfam says of the family: U1 is a small nuclear RNA (snRNA) component of the spliceosome (involved in pre-mRNA splicing). Its 5' end forms complementary base pairs with the 5' splice junction, thus defining the 5' donor site of an intron. Lineage: Eukaryota; Metazoa; Chordata; Mammalia; Monotremata; Ornithorhynchidae. The record is from Rfam by way of RNAcentral.
AUACUUACCUGGCAGGGGAGACACCAUGAUCACGUAGGUGGUUUUCCCAGGGUGAGGCUCCGCCAUUGCACUCGGGCUGUGCUGACCCCUGCGAUUUCCCCAAAUGCGGGAAACUCGACUGCAUAAUUUGUGGUAGUGGGGGACUGCGUUCGCGCUCUCCCCUG